GAUUUCAGUGGAGUGAAGUUCA
RNAcentral lists this microRNA (22 nucleotides) under Dasypus novemcinctus (nine-banded armadillo). RNAcentral's name for it is "dno-miR-205-3p". Its record names the gene dno-miR-205-3p. RNAcentral also lists the same sequence under 10 other names. Lineage: Eukaryota; Metazoa; Chordata; Mammalia; Cingulata; Dasypodidae. The record is from miRBase by way of RNAcentral.